RNAcentral lists this ribosomal RNA (449 nucleotides) under uncultured bacterium. RNAcentral's name for it is "partial 16S ribosomal RNA". It matches the Rfam family "Bacterial small subunit ribosomal RNA", at positions 29 to 523 of the family's 1533-position model. The record is from RNAcentral.
AACGAACGCUGGCGGCAUGCCUAACACAUGCAAGUCGAACGAGAUCUUCGGGUUUAGUGGCGCACGGGUGCGUAACGCGUGGGAAUCUGCCCUUUGGUUCGGAAUAACAGUUGGAAACGACUGCUAAUACCGGAUGAUGACGAAAGUCCAAAGAUUUAUCGCCAGAGGAUGAGCCCGCGUAGGAUUAGCUAGUUGGUGUAGUAAAGGCGCACCAAGGCGACGAUCCUUAGCUGGUCUGAGAGGAUGAUCAGCCACACUGGGACUGAGACACGGCCCAGACUCCUACGGGAGGCAGCAGUGGGGAAUAUUGGACAAUGGGCGAAAGCCUGAUCCAGCAAUGCCGCGUGAGUGAUGAAGGCCUUAGGGUUGUAAAGCUCUUUUACCCGGGAUGAUAAUGACAGUACCGGGAGAAUAAGCUCCGGCUAACUCCGUGCCAGCCGCCGCGGUAA